Molecule: non-coding RNA, 19 nt
Filed under: Arabidopsis thaliana (thale cress)
Lineage: Eukaryota; Viridiplantae; Streptophyta; Magnoliopsida; Brassicales; Brassicaceae
Source: RNAcentral
AUGGUCCCUGCGGAUGCUA